Small nuclear RNA from Eremothecium gossypii ATCC 10895, 184 nucleotides. RefSeq annotates it as AgSNR80. The transcript has a single exon. The record is from RefSeq. Lineage: Eukaryota; Fungi; Ascomycota; Saccharomycetes; Saccharomycetales; Saccharomycetaceae.
GCGCUGGCCUUCAGGCCAGCGCCAGUACACUCGCAGCAGUGGCACGCGACUGCUUCCCCGCUGUUGGGACUCGCCGUAGAUCUCGUUCCAUGCCAAUUCCCAAUUUAAUAGCAAACAAGAUAAAUCUAGUCUAUUACUCACCAUUACACCCGAAUUUUUGGGUGUAUUGGUCCAUUUCACAGAC